This 256-nucleotide ribosomal RNA is filed under the name uncultured bacterium. RNAcentral's name for it is "partial 16S ribosomal RNA". It matches the Rfam family "Bacterial small subunit ribosomal RNA", at positions 521 to 776 of the family's 1533-position model. The record is from RNAcentral.
UAAUACGUAGGGAGCAAGCGUUAUCCGGAAUUAUUGGGUGUAAAGGGUGCGUAGACGGGAAUACAAGUUAGUUGUGAAAGCCCUUGGCUUAACUGAGGAAUUGCAACUAAAACUAUGUUUCUUGAGUGCGGGAGAGGAAAGCGGAAUUCCUAGUGUAGCGGUGAAAUGCGUAGAUAUUAGGAGGAACACCAGUGGCGAAGGCGGCUUUCUGGACCGUAACUGACGUUGAAGCACGAAAGUGUGGGGAGCAAACAGG